Molecule: ribosomal RNA, 253 nt
Filed under: uncultured bacterium
Lineage: Bacteria
Description: partial 16S ribosomal RNA
Rfam family: Bacterial small subunit ribosomal RNA
Source: RNAcentral
GACAGAGGGUGCAAGCGUUGUUCGGAAUUACUGGGCGUAAAGCGUGUGUAGGCGGCCAUGUAAGUCGGAUGUGAAAGCCCCGGGCUCAACCCGGGAAGUGCACUCGAUACUGCGUGGCUUGAGUACCGGAGAGGUUGGUGGAAUUCUCGGUGUAGAGGUGAAAUUCGUAGAUAUCGAGAGGAACACCGGUGGCGAAGGCGGCCAACUGGACGGAUACUGACGCUGAGACGCGAAAGCGUGGGGAGCAAACAGG